RNAcentral lists this long non-coding RNA (1538 nucleotides) under Salmo salar (Atlantic salmon). RNAcentral describes it as "lncRNA (ENSSSAG00000085946.1, ENSSSAG00000086746.1)". Lineage: Eukaryota; Metazoa; Chordata; Actinopteri; Salmoniformes; Salmonidae. The record is from RNAcentral.
UGUGUGUGUGUGUGUGUGUGUGUGUGUGUGUGUGUGUGUGUGUGUGUGUGUGUGUGUGUGUGUGUGUAUUAAAGGGUCUGUCUAGCUCAGUAGUCUGCAUAUUAGAUGCAGUAGUUGGAGCACCUCUCCAAUCUCUGAUUGUUCUAGGUGUCUUUUUGCCAGAGGUUACCUCAGCACAUGUAGGCUGAUGAUCUGAAUGAUACAUGGUGUGGACUGCAUCAUGUGGUGUACUUCUCUGAAGGACAGUGUUCUGUCCGACCCUGGAGUAGUGGUCAGAGCUGUGUUGUGAUGGGGUCUAGUAGUGCUGUGUUGUGAUGGGCCAGGUCUAGUAGAGCUGUGUUGUGAUGGGGUCUAGUAGAGCUGUGUUGUGAUGGGCCAGGUCUAGUAGAGCUGUGUUGUGAUGGGGUCCAGUAGAGCUGUGUUGUGAUGGGCCAGGUCUAGUAGAGCUGUGUUGUGAUGGGGUCUAGUAGAGCUGUGUUGUGAUGGGCCAGGUCUAGUAGAGCUGUGUUGUGAUGGGCCAGUAGAGCUGUGUUGUGAUGGGCCAGGUCUAGUAGAGCUGUGUUGUGAUGGGCCUGGUCUAGUAGAGCUGUGUUGUGAUGGGCCGUGUCUGGCUCUUCUCUCCUGGGGACGGUGAAUGUACUGUUGUUUCAGAAUGUGGGGCGGGGAGACCUCUGUUGCUGGGGUGAUGGGUGUGUGGGUCUCCUGCCAAGUGUUGCAUCUUUUAGGUCCUUGGCAAAGGUUCUGAUACUGUCCUGAUCCAGAUGUACUUUAUCGUAUAAGUGUUGACAUGUCAGAGUGGGGUGGUGAGCCGUUCUGACGUUGAGCAGUGAGGCACAGUCCACAGUGAUCUGUUGAUUUAUAUUGUUGAUCAACUGUCCUGGGAAGUCUUUUCUUGGUAGGAGGGUUGGACACAACUAUAUUGGUUGUUGGGAACCGAGCCUGUGCCCGUUCUGCCACUCUUCUCACUGCCCCAGUGUCACGUCCUGACCAGCAGAGGGAGCAAUUGUAUUAGUUUUGGUCAGGACGUGGCAGGGUUUUUGUGUGUGCUAAGUGUUGUGUUGGUGAUUGGACUCCCAAUUGAAGGCAGGUGUGUUGAGUUGCCUUUGAUUGGGAGUCCUAUAUAGUAGUGUGUGUUUUUCUUUGGGGUUGUGGGUAGUUGUUUUUUGCACUGCGUUUGAUAGCCUGCAAAACUGUUCUUGUCGUGAGUAUCAUUUAUUGUUUUUUCACUGUGGAUGCUCUGCGUAUUUUUUCAUUAAAGAAUAUGAGUAUCCACAUACCCGCUGCGCCUUGGUCCAUUCCUGAAGACAACUGUUACACCCAGAUACAUUUUCACCUUUGGCAUGAAGGUGGUUUGUUCCAGUGUGGAUGAUGAUGUUGUCGGGGGGGAGUGUCAAUCCUGGUCUGACUGAGUAGCUGCAUUGCGCUGUCAAUUGUAGGACACCAGAACUUAUACACCUGGUGUCUAGGGAAUCAUCUGUCCUGGACUAAGAACUUCCCAUUUGAAUCAAUAAGGAUUGCAGUUGUGGGUGAUUGUCUGG